This is a long non-coding RNA of Homo sapiens (human), 1684 nucleotides long. Ensembl annotates it as ADAMTS16 divergent transcript. Its record names the gene ADAMTS16-DT. NCBI's taxonomy places the organism in Eukaryota, Metazoa, Chordata, Mammalia, Primates, Hominidae. The record is from Ensembl.
CAGCGGGGCGCUGAGGCGGAGGCGAGCGGGGAGCAGAGGGAAGGCGGGAGACAGCGGGCAGCGCCAGAGGAGGAGGACGCGGGAAGAUGGAGCUGCCCACGGCCUGCAGUCCGUGCCUCUCUGCCCGCGCGGGGACCACACAGUUGGAGAGGCUGCCGGGCACCGGCGCGGGCGAUGCUCAGCAUGGACCUCCGGCCGGCCAGCCUGGGCUUGUUUUCCCGGUAGUACUGGGUUCUGAGAGAGAGUAACUGCAUGGAAGGCCUUGAAGACUGGGCUUGGGCCUGCUGUACCCACAUGACUGCUUCUGCCACGUUCUACUGGCCAAGCUCUAUGGGCAGCUCAGACACAAGGGAAGAGACUCUGCUGCUUCCUGGGAGAAGCUGCAAGACCACAUUGCGAAGGAACAUGUUGUUGCUGCUCCCAUGUUACCUUCGUCAGUGACCUGAGAUGCAGACUGGAUCUAGGGAAUGGUGUUUCCUGUGUGAUGCCUUCCAGGAGUAUCUGCACCACGGGCAGUGCCAGGCCGAGGACAGAGGGCCUAAUGGAGGACACUCUACAACUCCAUCCUGCUGCUGGGGGGGCUUGGGGGCGCCUCCACGAGGGUCUUCAGAGGAAAGGCAUGUGUGUGGUCUGUGGCCUGCCAGCAGGAGAGCUGGGGGAGGCCGGCAUCUUGAGGCUGUUGGCAGCAAGUGCAGGCAGAGGCCUCGGGCCAGAGGGGAGGUGGCAGGGCUCAGGUGCCCUGUGCUUCCUCGGAGAAGGCACUUGGGAUGAAGGCUUAGUCCUGCCUGGUAAACCUGGAGGCCUGUGAACACUGGGGUUAGCCCCAACAAGGGAGGAGGUUCCCGCUGCCUCACUAAGAACAGCCUGCUGCUACACUCACCCUGACAGCUGCUCCGCUCCCAGUGAACCCCACCCCGAGAAGGCUCAUCGGGGCCACGGACCUCCCUCAGCGCUGCAUUCAGAAUCCCUCAGGAGUUGUAAACUUCCUGAUUUCUGGACCCAUCACCAGAGCCCAACGUCACGGGUAAGGGUUAGGGCCUGGAUGUCAGGAUUCAAUUUGGAGAAUUCCCCGGGGCAAUUCCACCAUUGCAGACACUGAAACGGAGCUGGGGCAGAAGAAUCACACCAGGUGGCUCGAGCUGAGCGGCUGGGAGUGUGGCAGUGAAGACACUGAGUGUCCGUCAGGGAAGAUGGCUCUGGGUACAACAGCGUGCCCAGCCCCUUAGAUAUUCUCUGCACGGAAGUGGCCCCACCCUGAAGCGCGUGUGCAGUGACUGUUCAUGCUUCUGUGUGUGUGCAGGAGUAGUUUGGUUGGAGUGUGCAUAUGCGAAUGUGUGUGUAUGGAAGUCUAUCUAUCUGUAAUGUAAAGCAGUUGCGUAAUGCAAAUGUGUGUGUAUGGACAUCUAUCUGUAAUGCAAAGCAGUUGCGUAAUGCAAAUGUGUGUGUAUGGAUGUCUAUCUAUCUGUAAUGUAAAGUUCCCAAGUAUUGUGUAUAUCAUUGUUUGAGUUUUUAAAUUCUAAGAUAAUUUCUAGAGAAAAAGAUGUACGGGUGAUUCCUGGUGAAAAGCAGGGACCGUGGGCCUCAUAUUGAGACACAUUUCACGCUGUUUAGAUUGUAAUGGCAAUUAUGUAUGACUUUUGUACGUUUUUUAAAAAGCCAAUAAAAUACAUUUUAAAAUGUGGAA